AUGGAAGGAUCCGGCGGCAAGGGGGGCAGCGCCCAGAUCCGCAGCCGCACCGGAGGGCCGCCAUCCCUCGAGAUCGUCCAUGGAGGUCCGACCCGGUUGCAGCCAUGGACUGAGACGCCCGAAACCCUAGCUACCCGUGGAGGUCCGACGCCUCAACCUCCAAGGAAAGGACACGCGCCGGCUGCAGGCCAUCUCCGGCGACCUCCGACCAUGGUUGCUCGGAUCUGGACCAGCUGCUGCUCCUACUGCUUCAGGUGGACGAGGACGAGCCGUCCCUCAUGGCUGCUGCGGCUGCCUAUACUCCCUCCUACCCACUGGCCUGGUGUGCUAUGGCAAUGA
Molecule: ribosomal RNA, 339 nt
Filed under: Triticum aestivum (bread wheat)
Lineage: Eukaryota; Viridiplantae; Streptophyta; Magnoliopsida; Poales; Poaceae
Description: partial small subunit ribosomal RNA
Source: RNAcentral